AGCAGCCGCGGUAAUUCCAGCUCCAAUAGCGUAUAUUAAAGUUGUUGCAGUUAAAAAGCUCGUAGUUGAAUUUCGGGAUCAAAUUGUCGGUCGUGCCUCGGUACGAACUGGUAUUAUUGGUUCCUACCUUCUGAAGAACCGCGAUGUCAUUAAUUUGGUGUCGUGGGGAAUCAGGACUGUUACUUUGAAAAAAUUAGAGUGUUUAAAGCAGGCUUACGCUUGAAUACAUUAGCAUGGAAUAAUGAAAUAGGACGUUUGAUUCUAUUUUGUUGGUUUCUAGGAUUGACGUAAUGAUUAAUAGGGAUAGUUGGGGGCAUUAGUAUUCAAUUGUCAGAGGUGAAAUUCUUGGAUUUAUUGAAGACUAACUACUGCGAAAGCAUUUGCCAAGGAUGUUUUCAUUAAUCAAGAACGAAAGUUAGGGGAUCGAAGACGAUCAGAUACCGUCGUAGUCUUAACCAUAAACUAUGCCGACUAGGGAUCGGAUGAUGUUAAUUUUUAAUGACUCAUUCGGCGCCUUACG
RNAcentral lists this ribosomal RNA (520 nucleotides) under uncultured Glomus. RNAcentral describes it as "SSU rRNA". It matches the Rfam family "Eukaryotic small subunit ribosomal RNA", at positions 569 to 1092 of the family's 1831-position model. Lineage: Eukaryota; Fungi; Glomeromycota; Glomeromycetes; Glomerales; Glomeraceae. The record is from RNAcentral.